This 72-nucleotide transfer RNA is filed under the name Spirochaetales bacterium. RNAcentral's name for it is "tRNA-Gln". It matches the Rfam family "tRNA". Rfam says of the family: Transfer RNA (tRNA) molecules are approximately 80 nucleotides in length. Their secondary structure includes four short double-helical elements and three loops (D, anti-codon, and T loops). RNAcentral also lists the same sequence under 1 other name. The record is from RNAcentral. Lineage: Bacteria; Pseudomonadati; Spirochaetota; Spirochaetia; Spirochaetales.
AGGGUAGUAGCCAAGUGGUUAAGGCUCUGGUUUUUGGUGCCGGUACCGCAGGUUCGAUUCCUGCCUACCCUG